This 335-nucleotide long non-coding RNA is filed under the name Lotus japonicus. Its description in RNAcentral is "long non-coding RNA (LJAP_LNC000284)". Lineage: Eukaryota; Viridiplantae; Streptophyta; Magnoliopsida; Fabales; Fabaceae. The record is from RNAcentral.
CUCCACCCCGGAAUACAACACAAAUAAAAACUAAGGGUCUGUUUCAUUAUAAUUUUUGAAAACUGUUUUCUGCUUUUAGAAACUGAAAAUUUAAAAACACCCUACAUCAAUUAUUCAAGCAUCCGAAAUACAAAAAUCAACAAUGACAAAUAUGUAGGUUUUUUGGUACAAAAUGACAAAUAUGUAGGUGACAAAUAAACAAAGAUGUUAUUAAUUUUAAAAAUUGUCAUCAUUAUCACCAGCCCUUUUACUACUAAUGCUCAAAGCCAUGCUGGGUUCUUCAAGGGCGUAACAACAGCCUUCACUUGCAAGUAGUUCUUAAGACUGUACUCUCC